RNAcentral lists this unclassified non-coding RNA (946 nucleotides) under Hevea brasiliensis (rubber tree). Lineage: Eukaryota; Viridiplantae; Streptophyta; Magnoliopsida; Malpighiales; Euphorbiaceae. The record is from RNAcentral.
AUAUAACUUUGAAAAUUAGUUCUCGUUUCAAGGAUGGGUCCUUGAUUUGUUCUUUGUUCUUGUUCUUGUUUCUACAUCAAGUGUAAUUCUAAGAAGGACCAGAUUCAAUGCCAAGUGAUUCAUAAAAUUGCUGAAAUAGGACCGGGUUUAAUAGUCAACCUCACUAGAAAGAUAAAGGUACUGCGGCCUGGGUAUGUUCCAGGUUCUGAAUAUUGUGCAAGAAAGUUCUAAUACUUUUAACAGUAUGUUGUAUUUUAUUGAUGUGAUGGAAUAAAACGAAUGAAUCAGUGAUUGCAAUUUCUCCUGUAUCUGUGAUUUCAUAAAUGAUGUUGAAAUCCCUUAGAACAGAAUGACCUACUCUGAGGAUCUGAUUCAAAGAGGUGGACUUCUCACUUACUUUGUAAAAUUCUUAUUUUCUUUCCUACUGAUUUGAUAUCCCUUUUUAAUCUGACAUUGAAACUUUUUAGUUCUGAACUCGUAUCUCACCCAUAUAAUUGUUUGCCUGACCACGUUAAAAGUACUAUGGUUCUGUUUCACACAAAAAUUAUGUAGUGGUAUACUUUCUUCAAUGAGCACUUUCAACUGGCCCUGCAUCUUGUUUCUGCAUCAAGCAUUUGCAUUCAUCCUCUCUAAAGAAACUAUUCUAUUCAUAAUCGAAGGCACUUUAAGAAAGUCGUGGUGUAACAUCUACAAUUGUAUCUAGGGCUGGCUCCAUCUCCAGUUCUCCACCUGCUUAUAUGUGGCAAUUGAAAAGUCAGUGGCAAAUGGUGUAGCGAUGUUGACAAUGACUGUUGAGAUUGGUUGAGGUGGUGAUUUUAGUGGUAGUGGUUGUAGGUGAUACUUGAUGCAUGCGGCUGUUGUAAAAUUGUAGCCGAGUCUUUAGAAUAUUGUUGUUUGAUUUGGAUUUUUUUUGUUGGGAAUGGUGUCAAAAAAAAAAAAAAGUAAA